Cyprinus carpio carpio is the source of this 1938-nucleotide long non-coding RNA. The record is from Ensembl. Lineage: Eukaryota; Metazoa; Chordata; Actinopteri; Cypriniformes; Cyprinidae.
AAACUUUAUCGCCUUUUUUACAAUGCAAUGGCUGGCUGAAGUUUUGAAAGAAAGCGUCCUGAAAGCUGAGACCUUUAUUUUAAAGUAAUAUGUGCUUCCUUGCGCUGGAGAGAGAGGGUGCAGCAACGUCAUAUGGCCACAUCAGAGCAGGAUGACUCACUUGAGAGGGGCCUGGAGCGUCAGCAGGCACUUUGUGGACACGUUGAGACAGGCUCUCCCCAAAAUCCAGCAGAGUGGGUGCUUUGGUUAAGUUAGGACUCUCGUUUAAAUAAGGCAUGUAUGAGGACAAGACUUGACUAAGGCGGAGCCUUUUAUAAUCAAUGAAGUGGCACAUUUGAAAGAAAAUUUCUAAGCGCAUGCAUUCUAAAAGCAAUUUGUGAUCCUUGCUAAAUCUUUCAAGUGGAUCUCAGUGUAUACAGUGGCUGUGGUUACAGUUAUGGAUGCACAGUUUUGUUUCAGGCUGAAUUAGAGGAUUUAAUUUUGUGGCAUUGUUCCUUCUGCAGUGCUGUACCCUAUUUAUCGGCCUUUUGCACCUUAAUAAGAAAGAAGCAAGAUUUGAAUGCACUUUGUUACUGAGGGGGCACUUUUUAGGCAAAAGAAACGGGUACUUUUAAACAAAAGAGCAAAUGUGCUGAGCAAAACGGCCCAUCCAAGUGGUGAUACUUGGUAGUUGUUGUUUUUUUAUUGUAAUUAUUAUUUUGGCUUGUUCAUAAGUGUUCAUUUUGUUUAGGUCUUGACACCGAGCUGCCAAAAAGUGCAGUCACUAAAGAGAAAGAAAAGGGUGAAGAUUUUGAUUGAUUUAAAUUGUUGAUGAGUAACAAAGAAUAGUAAUGAAGAUUAUAUGGAGAUUUCAUAUAUAUAUAUGAAAGCAUAAUGAUUAAUUGCACUUAAAGUUGAUUAAAAAAGUUCUCUAUUUUGUUUUAAUACAGAAGAGAGUACAGAUGUGGAAGCAUCUGCAGGGAUUUAUGAUAAUUAUCUACAACUACAUACUCCUCCUGUUUAGUUUCUGUCAGUGCAUUAUAUGUUGAGUUUCGCUGGUCAAGUGUCGUGUUCACUUUAAAUUUGUUGUUGAAGGCCACACCCUAAGCAUCACACUACUGUACGUUACGAAGAAAGUUUUUGUAUGACUGGACGACAUGGCAGAAUUAAUCCUUCUGGAAAUUCCAGUGUGUGAGCUUGUGUUUUUUCACACCCCAAAACGCUCAGUUAAUAAUACAUCACAUGCCUGCAAGGGUGUGUGGUAACACAUUGACCUAGACCAUCUCUUAUCAACUGUUUCACUCAUCGCCUGCGUUCAUCCCAUACGAAGUUCACAGUAGCUUUUAGAUUUGUUUCCAGGAUGUAUAUAUACCUAUGCCACGGCCCAAAUUUAUUCUCUCAUUAGAGAAGCAGAAGUUGAAGUUGGAAUUGUUGUGGAAAAAGCCUACUUGAGUUCCCUUUCUGUCUAUUUUUUUUCUGUGCUAUUAAGUGUGAGCGUUUCAAAUCUGCAAUGCUUUCUUUUGUUUUAUUGUAAAAUGUGUUGCUGCAGCUUGUUUGUGUUCUAGGAAAGAUAAUGCUAGCUGUGUUUGUGGGGUUUUGGGUGAAAUGGAGGGGGACUGGAGAACCGGGCAAGGCCUUUGAGUUUCUGUGAACACAGAGUCUGUUUAAUCUCCACUUCACUUCCCUAUACUUACAUCUGCAAUUAACUCUUUGAAAACCAAAGUAGGGAAAGACUAGGAUUACUUGAAGACUAUUCUCAGCCAUUAGAAGAAAGAGGUGAAUCUUACGUUUUCAACAACAGCGUAAACAAAACAAAUUCCUAGGCGAGUGUAGGUCAAGAGUCCAAAGCAACUCCAACAGAAAUAAGCAGCUUGAGGAAAGACACAGUAUUCAUGGAAUGGCUUAUUUCCAACAGUUAACAGGAUCAAACCCUAAGCAUCUGUGUCUACGUAGAAGUUU